RNAcentral lists this ribosomal RNA (2402 nucleotides) under freshwater metagenome. RNAcentral's name for it is "bacterial LSU rRNA". It matches the Rfam family "Bacterial large subunit ribosomal RNA", at positions 216 to 2426 of the family's 2925-position model. The record is from RNAcentral.
AGUUCAGACGUGUGCUCUUCCGAUCUGUUUCCCAGUCACGAUAGGAUGCGAGCGAAAAGGGAGGAGUCCAAACUUUUCAAAAACAAUUGGUUUUCCAAAUGUUUAUGAAAGGGGUUGUAAGAUGACAUAUCUCGCAAGAGAAAGGGAAGUGAAAAUGUUAGUGGAAGGCGGCUGGAAAGCCCCACCAAAGAAGGUGAUAGUCCUGUACGCAAAAAUAUUUUCAUACCCUUUGUGUUAUUCUUGAGUACUUCGACACAUGAAAGGGUCGGAGGAAGCAGGCCGCACUAUACGGCUAAGACUAAAUACUUUCGAAAACCGAUAGUGAACAAGUACCGUGAGGGAAAGGUGAAAAGUAGCCCGGUGAGGGCGAUGAAAUAGUUUCUGAAACCAUAAGCUUACAAAGAGUCGGAGCCUUGUACGUAGCAAUAUGUAUGUGGGUGACGGCGUGCCUAUUGAAGAAUGAGCCAACGAGUUGAUGUAUACUGCUCGGCUAAGUCCGCGAGGAUGGAGCCACAGGGAAACCAAGUACUAAUAGUGCGUUCGUAGUACACAUCAGACCCGAAGCCAAUGCGAGCUUGCCAUGAGCAGGGUGAAGUAGUUCGAAAGAACUAUGGAGGCCCGAACCGGUAUGUCGUUCAACGCAUUCGGAUGACUUGUGGUAAGAAGUGAAAAGCUAAUCGAGCUUGGUAAUAGCUGGUUCUCUCCGAAAUAGCUUUUGGGUUAGCGUCAUGUGUUCCCUCUGGGGGUAGAGCACUGGAAGGACUCGACAGGGAGAAAUCUCGCGAGUCCUAUCAAACUCCGAAUACCAGAGGUUAUAGCAUGGCAGUCAGUCUGUGGGGGCUAAGCUCCACUAGACAAAAGGGAAACAGCCCAUGAUCUCAAUUUAAGGUCCCUAAAUCUAUGUUAAGUGCACUUAAGGUGGUAAAGUUUCUUAGACAAUGAGGAGGUUUGCUUAGAAGCAGCCAUCCUUUAAAGAUAGCGUAACAGCUCACUCAUCGAGAGAUUUUGCGCCGCAAAUAACCGGGGCUAAAACAUAGUACCGAAACUGAGGGAUUAAAGACUUUUCGAAGUUUUUGAUCGGUAGGAGAGUGUUCUUGUCGCGAUGAAGCCAAAGGGGUGACCCAUGGUGGAGCGUCAAGAAGUAAGAAUGUUGGCACAAGUAACCACAAUCAGAGUGAAAUACUCUGACGUCGAAAGAUCAAGGUUUCCUAGGCAAUGAUUGUCAUCCUAGGGUUAGUCGGGCCUAAGGCAAUGGCGAGAGCCGCAGCCGAUGGACACACGGUUAAUAUUCCGUGACUUUUACGUAUAGUGAUGGGAGGACGGAGUGUAGUAUGGAGAGCGCAUUAUUGAAUUUGCGUUUAUGUGUGAAGGGGGAUGUGUAGGUAAAUCCGCACGUCUGACUUUAAUGUCGAUCCAACACAAGUGAUAAAACGGUGGAUUCGUUCACUGUCGAUUCUUCAAAGCACGCUUCCAAGAAAAUUCUCUAAACUUAUAUACGUAGAAACCGUACCGAAAACCGACACAGGUGAUCAGCUCGAGUAGAGCAAGACGAACGGGUGAGAGGUCUUCAAGGAACUCGGCAAAAAAGCAGCCGUAACUUCGGAAUAAGGCUUGCCCUCCCUAAAAAGAGGGUUGCAACAAAAGUAUCCCUGGCAACUGUUUACCAAAAACACAGCUCCCUGCGAACUCGCAAGAGGAUGUAUAGGGGGUGACACUUGACCAAUGCCAGAAGGUCAAACACGGGCGGUCGCAUAGCAAUAUGUUGGCUGGACUGUGCAAGCCCUGGUGAAUGUCGGCCGUAACUAUAACGGUCCUAAGGUAGCGAAAUUCCUUGUCAGGUAAGUUCUGACGCGCACGAAUAGUGUAAUGACUGGGGAACUGUCUCGAAGACUCGCCCGGUGAAAAUGCAAUGGAGGUGAAGAUGCCUCCUACCUGCAGCUAGACGAAAAGACCCCAGAAGCUUCACUGCAUCCUGGUAUUGAUCAUACGUUUUUACUGCGUAGCAUAGAUGGGAGAGGUUGAAAUCCAGAUCUUGGUUUGGGUGGACUCGUCAGUGAAAUACCAUUCUGUCAAAAUGUAUGCUCUAACCUGUUCGGAAAAAACGAACAGAGACAGUACUUGGUGGGCAGUUUUAGUGGGGCGCUAUCCUCCCAAAAAGUAACGGAGGAGUUUAUUAAGGUUGGCUAGGCGCGAAUGGAAACCGUGCCGAUAGUGCAGAUUAUCUGGGGCAGAUUUUCACCAAACAGGCAGAUUAUUUAGGGCAUAACCCCGCCUAAACGCGAAUAGCCUAAGUAUUGGCUUACUUUAGGGGCUAAAACACGCCUACACGCUUACCCAAUACCCCAGAGCCUUCGGUUUAGCCUAAAUCUAUGAGCCUUGAAGAUGAUCUAUUGAACCUUAGA